ACGGAAGGCAGCAGUGGGGAAUAUUGCACAAUGGGCGAAAGCCUGAUGCAGCGACGCCGCGUGAGUGAAGAAGUAUCUCGGUAUGUAAAGCUCUAUCAGCAGGGAAGAAAAUGACGGUACCUGACUAAGAAGCCCCGGCUAACUACGUGCCAGCAGCCGCGGUAAUACGUAGGGGGCAAGCGUUAUCCGGAUUUACUGGGUGUAAAGGGAGCGUAGACGGUUUGGCAAGUCUGAAGUGAAAUGCGGGGGCUCAACUCCUGAACUGCUUUGGAAACUGUCGAACUAGAGUGGAGGAGAGGUAAGUGGAAUUCCUAGUGUAGCGGUGAAAUGCGUAGAUAUUAGGAGGAACACCAGUGGCGAAGGCGGCUUACUGGACUGUAACUGACGUUGAGGCUCGAAAGCGUGGGGAGCAAACAGGAUUAGAUACCCUGGUA
RNAcentral lists this ribosomal RNA (434 nucleotides) under uncultured Lachnospiraceae bacterium. Its description in RNAcentral is "partial 16S ribosomal RNA". It matches the Rfam family "Bacterial small subunit ribosomal RNA", at positions 341 to 792 of the family's 1533-position model. The record is from RNAcentral. Lineage: Bacteria; Bacillati; Bacillota; Clostridia; Lachnospirales; Lachnospiraceae.